UUCAAUCAAAUGUCAUCUAAACCCCAUUUUCACGUUGGCGGGCUGAAUUGCGCCUCAAUUUCACUCAAAGUAAAUUUGGGAAAGUUAGAAACCCUUGUGAAAAAAAUUAUAAUCCUUUCAGCUACCUCUCUUUCCGCCACUCGCACUCUUCCAUUUCCUUUGUCAUCUUUGAUUCUGAGAUCUGUACCACUUCCGGACAAUUUAAGUCUUCCAAGCUAUGGGUUCGGGAAUUAUAAUUCUUGUUGAUGAUAAGGUGGAUCUGAUGGAAGAGAUUUUUGCAAAGUUGCUCGACAAGCUCCUCAAUUUGAUUCCCGGCAUCAAUGAAAUUUCAAGCCUCCCAAUCUGAUUCAUGGGCCGACAUGCUAGGAUAAAAAAAAUACAUUUUAUUCAAGCUUGGAAGAAUGAACAGAAUAAAUAUGGAGGGUUCUUCAAGCCUUGUGCCUACAAUGAUGAGAAAGCUACCAUGGGACUCUACUGUCUUUCUUGCUUCAAGAGUGGUUCUACGCAUUUUGCAAUGAAGAACCAUCAAAUCAGCAGACGUGUGAUCUACCCAAGUUCAGUGAAGAACUCUUUAACAUAAACAACUCUGUUUCAUUGCUUCUUAGGCAAUAAUUAAUUUUGCUUCAACUGUAUAGGUUGCUAGUGAUUCUUUGUUUAGAUUUACUUAUCCAAGCAGUUCAUAGAUAUGUGGAAGACUUUCCAUCUGUAUCUCAGAACAUAGAAAUUAAUGUUUAAUUUCCCACGCAACAACUCAUGGUCUUCAAUCCAUGUUGCCAUUUCAAAACACGAUGCAUGUAGCUCGUUCUUGCCAAUGGUUAACUCCAAAGGGAUCUUGCUUGAUCCUUUGCCAGUGUUUAUGCGUGUAGCAUCAAUAUUUAGCAUAUCUUCAUUUUCUUGAAUCAAGAACUAUUACUUAUGUACCUUUGCAAGUACCAUAAGUUUUUCUUGAUCUCAAUCUAGUUGAUCUUUACUUAGAUCAAUAGAGAUUGGUAUAUGUUCGUCAUGCCUAAAGCCAUACGAUACAUUUUUGGGGAUCCUUAUCAUACAUGAUAAAUUCCUUUGCAGAAUAAUUCCCAAUUGAAUUCUAUUUAUGUAACUUUAGCUAUCCAAUUUCAGUAGAUACUGAAUCCAGCUAAAUUCUUCGACAUAUAAUAUAGGUGAAGAAUCUCGUUAGAUUCUUUGAUGUUUAACUUAGUAAAUUCUUAUACAUAGUUCAAACAUUUAUUACUUAGAUUUAUUCACAUGGGUCGAAUAUCUCCAAUGGAGUCUUUCGUGUUUGAUUUAGUAAAUGUCAUUACUUAAUCUAAAACAAUAUUAUAAGAUCUUUGUAAACAGAUCUUAAUACCCAUUAUGUACUAAGUUUCGCCUUGGUCCAUCAUUGAUGAAUAUUUUCAAAUCCAAGUCAUUAGCUAGCAUUUGAAUGUUAUUUCACAAUAGAGAGAUAUGUGUGUGAUAGACAUAGGACCAAUUAAGUUUUACGUACUCCCACUGAACUUCUUAUACAUUUAUAAGAUUCAUGUACAUUUUAUGAAACUAAAAUACUUUUAGCUUCACUAAAAUAUAGUUCUAAUUCCCAAUUGCUUGCUUAAAUCCAUACCCGAAUUUCAUAAGCUAGCAUUCAUUUUAAGUGUUAUUUGGAUCCACAAAUCCUAUGACAUACCAUGUACAUAGUUUCUUCCAACACUUGAUUGAGGAAGAUGUUUUGUCAUCCAAUUGCAAUAUGUACCAAUUUGCAAUCAUUGCUUGAUUUAUAGACUCGAGCAUUACGAUUAUGCAUGAGGUUUCAACACAAUCCACGUCGUAAAUUUGCUUGUAACCUUUAGCAACUAAUCUAGAUUUGUGUGUGAAGACACAAUUCUAUGUUUGAUGGUUUUUAUCCUUAAAACCAAUUUACAACCAAUAGGUGUGAAACUUAUUCUUGCAAAUCAACAAAAUUUCAAUUUUGUCAUCAAAACACUAUGUAUUUUUAUGGCCUUUAACCAAUUAAACAUUAAGUCUAUAUAUGGCCUCUAACCAUUUUAGGGAGUCUACAUUUCGUCAUAGCUUUUUACAAGUCACAAACUCAUUACCAUUCUUGAUAAUAGUCUGCCUGCAAGUUGUAGGUUUCUUCACUAUCUAAUAGAAGAUUCUCAUAGUUUCAUUGAUCUGAACUCUAUGCCUGCAAGUUGUAGGUUUCUUCACUAUCUAAUAGAAGAUUCUCAUAGUUUCAUUGAUCUGAACUCUAUGCCUACAUAGGUAUAGAACAUCAAAUAAUAGAAUAUUAACAGACACUUUAAAGUCCUUUGAAUAUUCUGUUCUCCUUGAAGCACUUGUAAAGUCUUCUAAGAGAUGUCUAUUCUUAAAAGCCACUUCUAAAUUCCUUAAAGAAUAAGUGUUCGGAUUUUCUAAAGAACUUCGAAAAGCCUCCGGAAUAUCCGUUUAUGUUUGUUGUUCGCCUCGAAGACUUUCGAGUUCUAUUUUCUCCCACUUGUCAUUUUGGAAACGGAUCUACAAAAGGACACCAUUUCGGGAAAACAAACAUUAUGUUCUCAAAAAUUCGUGGUAGAAACAAUACCCUUGUGUCUUAUUUGAAUAAAUCACAAUGAAACAUAUAUCUAUACUUGGGCCUUAGUUUGUUGAAUAACAAAUAGUAAGCUCCCACUGAGUUUAGCAACUCUUUAGAUAUAUAUAAUUGAAAAAGUAUUCUGAAAUUAUUUUUUCAAUAGUUUUGACGAAUUUGGUUUAGUUUGGUGGUAGUUGAGCAUUUUGUUUAGAAAUUAGAGGAAAAUUUUGUAUGAUUCAUCCUUGAUCGAAUCAAGUACUAAUUGACUCCGAUCUUUCCAAUUUAGAUAUACCAUAUCUUAUGGAGCUCGAUCGUGAAAUUACAACACUCUAUGAUUUCUUGCCAAGUGGAUGUUUUUAUACUUUUCUAUGAAUCUUUGAACUAGCCAAACAGAUUCAAACUUAUAUCACUUUGAGUAAAUAAAUCCAUAUUUACUCAAAACCAUGUGAAAUAAUAAAGUCAUAAAAUCUUUCUUUAGCUUUGAACUAUAUUGUCUAGGUGUUCUAACAAUAGUUCAUAUCUUUUGUUACUUUCAACAAGUAAGACUAGCUUGUCUUGAAUGAUCUAGAAAUCAAUCAACUUUCAAAAGUCCAUCAAAAUAGAGCUUUAGAACGUUAACUUGUUGAUAUGGUCUAAGCAACAAUGGCAAAGAUUAGUAGAACUCAAAUCAAGGGGUUGAUUUGAACCUAAUAAAGUUCUUAUUGUUAAAGAGUUGUUUGUUUUAUUCGAAUUUAUUGUUCCGGCAGGUGUGAAUAAAAUGAUUCCAAGAUCCUUAAAUCAUUGAAGAAUUAAGCACAUUAUGUAUUUAGACUCAAUUCUAAAAUAUUUUAGGUAAGCAAACCCUUUGCUAAUAGUCUAGAAACUACUCUUGGUUGAUAGGUACGUCUAAGAACUUAUUAGGUAAACCUAUCUGUUUUGCCACGACAUAAAAGGACUCCUUAUUAGGUUAUGAUACAUAUGACAAUUCAUAAAUCAUGCGGAAAAAACCAUUAAGCCAGGAAUACAUAUUAUUUACACAUAAUCAUUUAGCAUAGUUUAGAUGCAUACUCUUUGUUGCGUGCCUUCCCUAGCUGCGCCCGAACCGAACAAGAACAAGUCUUUAGGACUCCAAGUGUCGUCCCUCCGUAGAUAGUCCACAGCACGUCCGGAUCCGCCUUAAGAUUGACCAACUAGAAUCGCCCUUAAGGUACUCUGAAUUUUCGGCACUUUAUAGGCAAUUGUAUGACUGAAUUUUGCUCUCAAAAACUCACUUUGAAUACUUGAAUGCUCGAUGUAAAUAUGUGACCCUAGGCACCUAUUUAUAGAGUUAUGGAAAAGGAUUUGGAAUCCUAUUAGUAUACUAAUUUAUUUAAUUAUAAUCUUACUAGGACUCUAAUUAAAUAAACUAAAUCUUUUAGGAUUAGAUUUAAUCAUAUGACAAAUCCCGGUAGCUUUAGGAUUCGAGUAGCACACAAACACACACGCACGCACAGCAGCCCACGAGGGGCGCCAUGCGCGCGCGCGCAGCCCGCAAGCUCGCAGCCCACUGCCGCAAGCCCACACGCUGCCGUAGCCUUGGCGCGCGCUGGGCCUGCCUUGCGGUGGGCCUGGCGCAGCCUUGGCUGGUGCGUUUGUGGCGCGCUGGCUUGCUGGGCGAGGGCCCGGCUUCGUGCUGGGCCUUCGUCUGGCAGGCCUCGUCCGAUGCUAAUUCGUACGAUACGCUUCCGAUUAAUUUCCCGAUUCCGGAAUUCAUUUCUGAUACGAACAAUAUUCAACAUUUCCGAUUCCGGAAUCAAUUUCCGUUUCGAACAAAUAUUUAAUAUUUCCGUUUCCGGAAUUAUUUUCCGAUUCCGAUAAUAUUUCCGAUUCUGACAAUAUUUCCGUUUCCGGCAAUAUUUCCGAUUCCGGCAAUAUUUCCAUUUCCGAUAAUAUUUUCCGAUACGUACCAUGUUUCCGUUUCCGGCAACAUCUACGACUUGGAUAAUAUUUAUAUUUCCGAUACGAUCCAUAUUUCCGUUUCCGGCAAUAUCAUCGUUUCCGGAGUAUUCAUUUCUUGCCUGUGACGAUCUCAGCUCCCACUGAAACCAAGAUCCGUCGAUUCCGAAUAUCCAUAGAUGGAGUAUUUAAUGCCAUUAAAUACUUGAUCCGUUUACGUACUAUUUGUGUGAUCCUACGGGUUCAGUCAAUAGUAAGCUGUGGAUUAAUAUCAUUAAUUCCACUUGAAUUGAAGCGGCCUCUAGCUAGGCAUUCAGCUCACUUGAUCUCACUGAAUUAUUAACUUGUUAAUUAAUACUGAACCGCAUUUAUUAGACUUAACAUUGAAUGCAUACUUGGACCAAGGGCAUUAUUUCCUUCAGUCUCCCACUUGUCCUUAGGGACAAGUGUGCAUUUCCUAAUUCCUUUGUCGCUCGAUGCUUGCUCUUGAACAUAAGGUAAGAGUUGUCAUCCUUAUUAUGUCCAGAGGUGUUCCUCGGUUACAGAGUUCAACUGAUCAAAUAAACAGAUAAUCAUAGCCUAUGAUUCAUCCGAGCACGGCCAUGCAUUUCACAGUUUCUAGCUCUCCGAGUGGCCUUGUACAACUUUUAAGCAUCUCAUCCCGAUUUAUGGGAGGAUAAUCCCAAUCUUGCGAUCUUGAGAUUAGACUUCGUUUGAUAGGUGAUUACCUGAGCGUUGCCUUUAUAGCCUCCUUUUACGGUGCGACGGUUGGUCAACGUCAAAGUAACCAGUUCUCAAACAAGUAAUCUCAAAUCACCCAGGUAUUGAGGAUUUAGUGUCUAAUAAUUUUAAUGAAAUUUACUUAUGACAGAUUUUCAUCUCUUACAGUAAAGUUUCAUAGGUCUUGUCCGAUACUAGUCUUCCCAAAGUAAGUAUCUAUGCAAAUGAUUAUGACAUUGCCAUGUCCACAUAGUUCAAGAAACAGAACUACUAGUCAUCUUGCGUUCUAAUCGUCUAACGUUUUCUAUGCGUCCAAUUUUAUAGAAAACUCCGACUAGGGACCAUUUUCAACCUUUGACAUUCAAGUUCACUUGAUAGACAUUUCUUAGUCACAGGACUGGUCCUGACAGUCUAUCUUGAAUAUAUCGUCAAAUUGAAGGGACUCAUCAUUUAAUACUAAACCAAGAUUAAAUGGAAUAUGAAAAUGAAUUUCAUAUAUGAUAAAUGUUCAACCCCAAUGUUUUACAACCAUGGGCCUCAAACCCAUCUUCUAAAACAGUUCAUGGAAUUUCAAAGCUAUGCUUGAUUUCCAGUGCUACAAUGUAAGUGUUGCUUCUCACUUGUUGCAUAGGUUUAGUUAUAUGCUUUGCCAAUCUUAAUAUCCUUUUCAUCGAAUGUUCUUCGAGAUAGAUGAUAAGAUCUUUUGAGUAUGUUUAUUUUGUGAUCUAGUCUUUCUCGCUACAGUGGUGGUUCUACGCAUUUCUCAAUGAAGAACCAUCAAGUUAGCAGACCUUUUUCUUGCUUCAAGAGUGGUUCUACGCAUUUUUCAAUGAAGAACCAUCAAGCCAGCAGAUAGGUGAUCUUCCCAAGUUCAGUGAAGAACUCUUUAACAUAAACAGCCCUGUUUUAUUGCUUCUUAGGCAAUAAGUACUUUUACUUCAACUGUUUAGGUUGCUAGUGAUGCUUUGUUUGGAUUUGCUUAUCCAAGCAGUUCACAGAUAUGUGGAAGACUUUCCAGCUGUAUCUUAGAACAUAGAAAUUAAUAUUUUAAUGUCCCACGCAACAACUCAUGGUCUCCAAUCCAUGUUGCCAUUUCGAAACACAAUGCUCUUUAACUCGUCCUUGUCAAUGGUUAACUCCAAAGGGUCUUGCUUGAUCCUUUGCCAGUGUUUAUGCGUGUAGCAUCAAUAUUUAGCAUAUCUUUAUUUCCUUGAAUCAAGAACUAUUCCUAUGUACCUUUUCAAGUACCAUAAGUGUUCUUGAUCUCAAUCUAGUUGAUCUUCACUUAGAUCAAUAGAGAUUGGUAUAUGUUCGUCAUGCCUAAAGUCAUACGAUACAUUUUUGGCGAUCCUCAUAUUAUAUCAUACAUGAUAAAUUCUUUUGCGGAAUAAUUCCCAAUUGAAUUCUAUUCAUGUAACUUUAGCUCAUUCAAUUUUCAGUAGAUACUGAAUCCAGCUAAAUUCUUUGACAUAUAAUAUAGGUUAAGAAUCUCACUUAGAUCCUUUGAUGUUUUAACUUAGUAAAUGCUUAUACAUAGUUCAAACAUUCUUUUACUUAGAUUUAUUCUCAUGGGUCGAAUAUUUUCAAUGGAGUAUUUCGUGUUUGAUUUAGUAAAUGCCAUUACUUAAUCCAAAACAAUAUUAUAAGAUCUUUGUAAAUAGAUCUUAGUACCCAGUAUGUACUAAGUUUCGCCUUGGUCCAUCAUUGAUGAAUAAUCUCAAAUCUAAGUAUUUAGCAUUUGAAUGUUAUUUCACAAUAGAGAGAUAUGUGUGUGAUACACAUAGGACCAAUUAAGU
Spinacia oleracea (spinach) is the source of this 6972-nucleotide long non-coding RNA. RefSeq lists it as uncharacterized. Lineage: Eukaryota; Viridiplantae; Streptophyta; Magnoliopsida; Caryophyllales; Amaranthaceae. The record is from RefSeq and is a predicted model, not a curated record. The transcript is spliced from 5 exons.